Molecule: ribosomal RNA, 292 nt
Filed under: uncultured bacterium
Lineage: Bacteria
Description: partial 16S ribosomal RNA
Rfam family: Bacterial small subunit ribosomal RNA
Source: RNAcentral
GUGCCAGCCGCCGCGGUAAUACGUAGGAUGCAAGCGUUGUCCGGAUUUACUGGGCGUAAAGCGCGCGCAGGCGGCACAUUAAGUAAGGUGUGAAAUAUCCCGGCUCAACCGGGAGGGUGCACUUUAGACUGAUGAGCUUGAGGUCGGUAGAGGGGGGUGGAAUUGCUGGUGUAGCGGUGAAAUGCGUAGAGAUCAGCAGGAACACCCGUGGCGAAGGCGGCCCCCUGGGCCGUACCUGACGCUGAGGCGCGAAGGCUAGGGGAGCGAACGGGAUUAGAUACCCCCGUAGUCC